This is a non-coding RNA of Alligator mississippiensis (American alligator), 94 nucleotides long. Lineage: Eukaryota; Metazoa; Chordata; Crocodylia; Alligatoridae. The record is from Rfam.
GGUCUCCCCCGGGUCUUUUUGCGGUCUGGGCUUUCUGGGUCUGUCGCAGCCCGUGGCAGAAAGCCCUUACCCCAAAGAGCAUCCGGGGCUGCAC